GAUGAACGCUGGCGGCGUGCCUAAUACAUGCAAGUCGAGCGAACAGACGAGGCGCUUGCUCCUCUGACGUUAGCGGCGGACGGGUGAUUACCACGUGGAUACCCUACCUAUAAGACUGGGAUAACUUCGGGAAACCGGAUCUCAUACCGGAUAAUAUAUUGAACCGCAUGGUUCAAUAGUGAAAGACGGUUUUGCUGUCACUUAUAGAUGGAUCCGCGCCGCAUUAGCUAGUUGGUAAGGUAACGGCUUACCAAGGCAACGAUGCGUAGCCGACCUGAGAGGGUGAUCGGCCACACUGGAACUGAGACACGGUCCAGACUCCUACGGGAGGCAGCAGUAGGGAAUCUUCCGCAAUGGGCGAAAGCCUGACGGAGCAACGCCGCGUGAGUGAUGAAGGUCUUCGGAUCGUAAAACUCUGUUAUUAGGGAAGAACAAAUGUGUAAGUAACUAUGCACGUCUUGACGGUACCUAAUCAGAAAGCCACGGCUAACUACGUG
Molecule: ribosomal RNA, 497 nt
Filed under: uncultured bacterium
Lineage: Bacteria
Description: partial 16S ribosomal RNA
Rfam family: Bacterial small subunit ribosomal RNA
Source: RNAcentral